This 481-nucleotide ribosomal RNA is filed under the name uncultured bacterium. RNAcentral's name for it is "bacterial SSU rRNA". It matches the Rfam family "Bacterial small subunit ribosomal RNA", at positions 501 to 985 of the family's 1533-position model. The record is from RNAcentral.
CUACGUGCCAGCAGCCGCGGUAAUACGGAAGGUCCGGGCGUUAUCCGGAUUUAUUGGGUUUAAAGGGAGCGUAGGCUGGAGAUUAAGUGUGUUGUGAAAUGUAGACGCUCAACGUCUGACUUGCAGCGCAUACUGGUUUCCUUGAGUACGCACAACGUUGGCGGAAUUCGUCGUGUAGCGGUGAAAUGCUUAGAUAUGACGAAGAACUCCGAUUGCGAAGGCAGCUGACGGGAGCGCAACUGACGCUUAAGCUCGAAGGUGCGGGUAUCGAACAGGAUUAGAUACCCUGGUAGUCCGCACAGUAAACGAUGGAUGCCCGCUGUUGGUACCUGGUAUCAGCGGCUAAGCGAAAGCAUUAAGCAUCCUACUUGGGGAGUACGCCGGCAACGGUGAAACUCAAAGGAAUUGACGGGGGCCCGCACAAGCGGAGGAACAUGUGGUUUAAUUCGAUGAUACGCGAGGAACCUUACCCGGGCUUGAA